Molecule: ribosomal RNA, 465 nt
Filed under: uncultured bacterium
Lineage: Bacteria
Description: partial 16S ribosomal RNA
Rfam family: Bacterial small subunit ribosomal RNA
Source: RNAcentral
GACGAACGCUGGCGGCGUGCUUAACACAUGCAAGUCGAACGGAAAGGCCCCUUUGGGGGUACUCGAGUGGCGAACGGGGGAGUAACACGUGAGUAACCUGCCCUUGCCUUCGGGAUAACUUCAGGAAACUGGGGCUAAUACCGGAUAGGAAUCCUUGCUGCAUGGUGGGGGUUGGAAAGCUUCGGCGGUUUUGGAUGGACUCGCGGCUUAUCAGCUUGUUGGUGGGGUAGUGGCUUACCAAGGCUUUGACGGGUAGCCGGCCUGAGAGGGCGACCGGCCACAUUGGGACUGAGAGACGGCCCAGACUCCUACGGGAGGCAGCAGUGGGGAAUAUUGCACAAUGGGCGGAAGCCUGAUGCAGCAACGCCGCGUGCGGGAUGACGGCCUUCGGGUUGUAAACCGCUUUCAGCAGGGGCGAAGCUUGUGGUGACGGUACCUGCAGAAGAAGCACCGGCUAACUACGUG